ACUUUGCUGGUGCAGGCGGUAC
RNAcentral lists this unclassified non-coding RNA (22 nucleotides) under Mus musculus (house mouse). RNAcentral describes it as "oocyte_clustered_small_RNA9326". Lineage: Eukaryota; Metazoa; Chordata; Mammalia; Rodentia; Muridae. The record is from RNAcentral.